This 65-nucleotide transfer RNA is filed under the name Mammilla mammata. RNAcentral's name for it is "tRNA-Cys". It matches the Rfam family "tRNA". Rfam says of the family: Transfer RNA (tRNA) molecules are approximately 80 nucleotides in length. Lineage: Eukaryota; Metazoa; Mollusca; Gastropoda; Littorinimorpha; Naticidae. The record is from RNAcentral.
CCUACUAUAGUUUAUUUAAAACAUUGAAUUGCAAAUUCAAAAAUGAAAAUUACAUUCUAGUAAGU